CUGGAGGUGCACCGGUGCUCCCUCAUGGAGGAGCCCCUCCUGCCCCAGGACUGCCUUUGCUUCAACAGCAAAGGCAGCAGAUAAUAGCCCAGCUGAGGGCUGUGAAUAGACAGAUUUAUGCCAAUCUACCAAGGAGAGCUGGCAGGGGCAGGGGCCGCAGGCCGAGGCCCAGAGGGGCCGUAACAAAA
Molecule: long non-coding RNA, 188 nt
Filed under: Amphimedon queenslandica
Lineage: Eukaryota; Metazoa; Porifera; Demospongiae; Haplosclerida; Niphatidae
Description: uncharacterized LOC109583120
Source: RNAcentral